AAGUCGUAACAAGGUUUCCGUAGGUGAACCUGCGGAAGGAUCAUUACUGAGUGAGGGUCCCUCGGGGCCCAACCUCCCACCCGUGUAUACCGUACCUUGUUGCUUCGGCGAGCCCGCCCCCCUAUCCUUUAGGGGUGGCACAGCGCUCGCCGGAGACACCAACGUGAACACUGUCUGAAGUUUUGUCGUCUGAGUCGAUUGUAUCGCAAUCAGUUAAAACUUUCAACAAUGGAUCUCUUGGUUCCG
RNAcentral lists this unclassified non-coding RNA (246 nucleotides) under Aspergillus sp. Its description in RNAcentral is "partial internal transcribed spacer region". The stretch from base 1 to 46 matches the Rfam family "Eukaryotic small subunit ribosomal RNA", at positions 1786 to 1831 of the family's 1831-position model. The record is from RNAcentral. Lineage: Eukaryota; Fungi; Ascomycota; Eurotiomycetes; Eurotiales; Aspergillaceae.